AUUCCAGCUCCAAUAGCGUAUAUUAAAGUUGUUGCGGUUAAAAAGCUCGUAGUUGGAUUUCUGCUGAGGACGACUGGUCCGCCCCCUGGGUGAGCAUCUGGUUCGGCCUGGGCAUCUUCUUGGGGAACGUAUCUGCACUUGAUUGUGUGGUGCGGUAUCCAGGACUUUUACUUUGAGGAAAUUAGAGUGUUUCAAGCAGGCCCGCGCCUUGAAUACAUUAGCAUGGAAUAAUAAGAUAGGACUUUGGUGGUUCUUUUUGAUAUUUUGUUGGUUUGCACGCCAAAGUAAUGAUUAAUAGGAGCAGUUGGGGGUAUUCGUAUUCAAUUGUCAGAGGUGAAAUUCUUGGAUUUAUAGAAGACGAACUACUGCGAAAGCAUUUACCAAGGAUGUUUUCAUUG
This 398-nucleotide ribosomal RNA is filed under the name Dictyochophyceae sp. RNAcentral describes it as "partial small subunit ribosomal RNA". It matches the Rfam family "Eukaryotic small subunit ribosomal RNA", at positions 582 to 975 of the family's 1831-position model. Lineage: Eukaryota; Dictyochophyceae. The record is from RNAcentral.